AUUGGCUGUCUUCAGCUCGUGUCGUGAGAUGUUGGGUUAAGUCCCGUAACGAGCGCAACCCUUGUCCUUAGUUACCAGCACCUCGGGUGGGCACUCUAAGGAGACUGCCGGUGACAAACCGGAGGAAGGUGGGGAUGACGUCAAGUCAUCAUGGCCCUUACGGCCAGGGCUACACACGUGCUACAAUGGUCGGUACAAAGGGUUGCCAAGCCGCGAGGUGGAGCUAAUCCCAUAAAACCGAUCGUAGUCCGGAUCGCAGUCUGCAACUCGACUGCGUGAAGUCGGAAUCGCUAGUAAUCGGAAUCAGAAUC
Molecule: ribosomal RNA, 311 nt
Filed under: uncultured bacterium
Lineage: Bacteria
Description: bacterial SSU rRNA
Rfam family: Bacterial small subunit ribosomal RNA
Source: RNAcentral